AGUAACGCGUGGGUAACCUGCCUUGUACUGGGGGAGUAGCAGCUGGAAACGGCUGGUAAUACCGCAUAAGCGCACAAUGUUGCAUGACAUGGUGUGAAAAACUCCGGUGGUAUAAGAUGGACCCGCGUCUGAUUAGCUAGUUGGUGAGAUAACAGCCCACCAAGGCGACGAUCAGUAGCCGACCUGAGAGGGUGACCGGCCACAUUGGGACUGAGACACGGCCCAGACUCCUACGGGAGGCAGCAUG
RNAcentral lists this ribosomal RNA (247 nucleotides) under uncultured bacterium. Its description in RNAcentral is "partial 16S ribosomal RNA". It matches the Rfam family "Bacterial small subunit ribosomal RNA", at positions 109 to 353 of the family's 1533-position model. The record is from RNAcentral.